Molecule: long non-coding RNA, 1140 nt
Filed under: Nicotiana benthamiana
Lineage: Eukaryota; Viridiplantae; Streptophyta; Magnoliopsida; Solanales; Solanaceae
Description: long non-coding RNA (NBEN_LNC006546)
Source: RNAcentral
UAGUUUUAACCUGUCUUAUUUAAUUAAAAAAUUAAUUUUUAGCUAUUUUAUGUGAUCUAGCCCAUAAAAUUUGAGCCCAACAAGACCUAGCCCAGUCCAAACCCCCCACACCUUGUCUUCCUAAAAACAAGACAAAAAAACCCAAGACUAUCCCUUCUUCUUCUUGAAAAAAAAAAACCUUAGAAAGCCUUCUUCCUCAGCAUUCCAAGACUACAACAAUGUAGACCAUGAAAGCAAAACCCUAGAGAUACUAGCAGCCGCCACCAAACGACCACCCUAUACUCACCGUGAGACCCACCCUCACUACCAUAGCCGCCUGCUCACUCAUGCUACAUCGCUUUCUGCCACCUUCUCUUCUUCUUCUCCUCGCACUCGCUGGAAAAAACAACAGCCACGACUACCUACUGACCUCACUCCAAACGCCCGGAAACAGAAACCGUCGCCGGAACUCCUUUCUCCAUCACUCCAUAGCCGCGACGAAAAUCGGUGCCGCCGGACCACCCUUCUCGCCGCCGAACAACCAUACACGACCCCUCUCGUUCUUCUUCUCCGACUAACAGCAACAAUACAGCCACAUCCCUCUACAUCCUUUCUGCUGCUUCUACACAGACACACACACACCAACACAACCGAAAACCAAGAUAAAAAUGUAGUAAUAUCUUGGUUUCUCUUGCUCUAUAUUGGAUUCGGAACAGAGUCCAAGUUGCUUUAUACAGUGAAUUAGUUCCAUCUAAGUUUGGUUUCAUUUCAAAUUCAAAAAUAUUGAUUAAAAAAAACAAUUUUCGUAUUCUGGAUUUUGUCCAAAAUGGGUUAAAGCCGAGGAUGUUUUCAAAUUCCGGUGCCGAUUCGAAUUCCCGUCCGCGAUUCGUCCAAAUUUUGAGUUCAAAACGCCUUCACAAUUAAAAUUUUCAGAUUCAUUUGAGGGUCAUUUCUCAUUCCUUCUACCUUAUUUUUCUUAUCAUUGUGAUUCUGUCUUUUACUUAGUCUAUCUUUGCUUUGUUUCGUUGAUGGUAUGACUUAGCAUUCGAUGACUCUAUCUUGGAUUUUUGAGUACUUUGGCGAUUGUCAUUAUACAUUUUGCUGCUGCCUAUUCGUUUGUAUGUUGUUUGGUGAAUUUAUUGGAUAGGUUUGAUGGUUAGA